This 540-nucleotide ribosomal RNA is filed under the name uncultured bacterium. Its description in RNAcentral is "bacterial SSU rRNA". It matches the Rfam family "Bacterial small subunit ribosomal RNA", at positions 767 to 1325 of the family's 1533-position model. The record is from RNAcentral.
AGCCAAUAGAUACCCAGGUAGUCCACGCCGUAAACUAUGGAUGCUAGCUGUUAGAGGUAUCGACCCCUCUAGUAGCGAAAGCUAACGCGUUAAGCAUCCCGCCUGUGGAGUACGGUCGCAAGACUAAAACAUAAAGGAAUUGACGGGGACCCGCACAAGCGGUGGAGCGUGUUGUUUAAUUCGAUGGUAAGCGAAGAACCUUACCCAGGCUUGACAUCCUUGGAAUUUUGGCGAAAGCCGAGAGUGCCUUCGGGAACCAAGUGACAGGUGUUGCAUGGCCGUCGUCAGCUCGUGUCGUGAGAUGUUUGGUUAAGUCCAUCAACGAGCGCAACCCUUAUAGUUAGUUGAAUUUUUCUAGCUAGACUGCCCUGGCAACAGGGAGGAAGGAGGGGAUGAUGUCAGGUCAGUAUUACCCUUACGUCUGGGGCUACAAACACGCUACAAUGGCCGGUACAAAGGGCAGCCAAGUCGCGAGACGGAGCAAAUCCCAUCAAAGCCGGUCUAAGUUCGGAUAGCAGGCUGAAACUCGCCUGCUUGAAG